CGAGUAAGCCGGGCAGCCGCGGGAUAGACUCCAAAGGGUUUAUCGUGAGGAAAGUCCGGGCUCCGCAGGGCAGGGAUAACGGGUAACACCCGCCGAAGGCAACUUCAGGACAAGUGCAACAGAGAUAUACCACCAGAGGGUUAUUUUGCAGACUGCAUCGAGUUUCGCUCGCGAAACUCGCAAGGACUGCGAAGCAGUCCUUUGGCAAGGGUGGAAAAGUGAGGUAAGAGCUCACUCGACGGCUGGAGACAGUCCGCCGCUGUAAACUCUAUCCGGAGCAACACCGUGGAGAGAGCAGAAUUUAAGUAUUCAAGGCCGGCCCGGCCGCUCUCGGGAGGUGGCUUGAGCCCAUCGGCAACGAUGGGCCUAGAUAGAUGGCUGCCCAAGAGUUUUUAUCUCGACCUAACGGUCUCGAUAAAACCUCUGGACAGAAUCCGGCUUACAGGCUUGCUCGUAAA
This 458-nucleotide RNase P RNA is filed under the name Clostridiales bacterium. RNAcentral's name for it is "RNase P RNA component class A". It matches the Rfam family "Bacterial RNase P class A". From Rfam's summary of the family: Ribonuclease P (RNase P) is a ubiquitous endoribonuclease, found in archaea, bacteria and eukarya as well as chloroplasts and mitochondria. Its best characterised activity is the generation of mature 5'-ends of tRNAs by cleaving the 5'-leader elements of precursor-tRNAs. Cellular RNase Ps are ribonucleoproteins. Lineage: Bacteria; Bacillati; Bacillota; Clostridia; Eubacteriales. The record is from RNAcentral.